GAUGAACGCUGGCGGCGUGCUUAACACAUGCAAGUCGAACGGAAAGGCCCAAGCUUGCUUGCGUUCUCGAGUGGCGAACGGGGGAGUAUCACGUGGGGGAUCUGCCCUUCACUUCGGGAUAUGCCUUGGAAACUGGGUCUAAUACCGGAUAUGACCACUUCUUGGAUGUGGUUGUGGAUAGUUUUUUCGUUUUGGGAUGAGCUUGCGACCUAUCAGCUUGUUGGUGGGUUAAUGGCCUACCAAGGCGUUGACGGGUAGCCGGCCGGAGACGGUGUACGGCGACCUUGAGACUGAGAUACGGCCCAGACUGCGACGGGGGGAAGAUGGGGGGAAUCUUGACGAAGGGGCGCAAGCCUGAUGAAGAGAGGCCGCGUGGGGGAUGACGGCGUUAGGGUUGAAAAACCCUUGCGCUAGGGACGAAGCGGUUUGUGACGGUACCUGGAGAAGAAGCACCGGCUAACUACGUG
Molecule: ribosomal RNA, 467 nt
Filed under: uncultured bacterium
Lineage: Bacteria
Description: partial 16S ribosomal RNA
Rfam family: Bacterial small subunit ribosomal RNA
Source: RNAcentral